GACGAACGCUGGCGGCGUGCUUAACACAUGCAAGUCGAACGGAAAGGCCCUGCUUUUGUGGGGUGCUCGAGUGGCGAACGGGUGAGUAACACGUGAGUAACCUGCCCUUGACUUUGGGAUAACUUCAGGAAACUGGGGCUAAUACCGGAUAGGAGCUCCUGCUGCAUGGUGGGGGUUGGAAAGUUUCGGCGGUUGGGGAUGGACUCGCGGCUUAUCAGCUUGUUGGUGGGGUAGUGGCUUACCAAGGCUUUGACGGGUAGCCGGCCUGAGAGGGUGACCGGCCACAUUGGGACUGAGAUACGGCCCAGACUCCUACGGGAGGCAGCGGUGGGGAAUAUUGCAAAAUGGGCGGAAGCCUGAUGCAGCAACGCCGCGUGCGGGAUGACGGCCUUCGGGUUGUAAACCGCUUUCGCCUGUGACGAAGCGUGAGUGACGGUAAUGGGUAAAGAAGCACCGGCUAACUACGUG
This 468-nucleotide ribosomal RNA is filed under the name uncultured bacterium. Its description in RNAcentral is "partial 16S ribosomal RNA". It matches the Rfam family "Bacterial small subunit ribosomal RNA", at positions 28 to 507 of the family's 1533-position model. The record is from RNAcentral.